GUUUGCCUUAAGUGAAUAUUGAAUUGUUUAAGCAAACGAGAUCUAGGAAUGAACGGCGAUUGGGGUCGAGGGGGGCCGACCGACCCCACUGCAGGCCCAUGAAUACGGCCAGAAUCAAGCUUCUGUCGUUGUGCUUCAAGUCUUCGACCCAACGAUGUAGAAAGAAUAGCAGAUAUGCAACGGCUAAUGAAAAGGAGAGUGUUAAUCAAGGAUCAAUUGAGAAUUUAUACUAUAUUUAUUGGAGGCUAUGAAGAAACUACACGUUAUGGCUUAAUAAAGUGUUAAUUUAGGCGCUAUAAAGUUAUUUAUGAAGGUAUUAAGACACUAAAUGUUCUAGUGUAUUUUUUUUUCAUAGUCAUAACAUAAUUACAUCA
Molecule: long non-coding RNA, 374 nt
Organism: Salvia splendens (bonfire salvia)
Lineage: Eukaryota; Viridiplantae; Streptophyta; Magnoliopsida; Lamiales; Lamiaceae
Exons: 2
Source: RefSeq, a predicted model, not a curated record